Hyaena hyaena (striped hyena) is the source of this 236-nucleotide long non-coding RNA. RefSeq lists it as uncharacterized. NCBI's taxonomy places the organism in Eukaryota, Metazoa, Chordata, Mammalia, Carnivora, Hyaenidae. The transcript has 3 exons. The record is from RefSeq and is a predicted model, not a curated record.
GAGGCUUCUGAGCUGCCACUUCUCCUUUCUGCCGGGAUCUGACAGAGACACAGUGGCCUGCUCUAGACCCAGCUCUCGACUCUCCUGAGAGGAGGAACGGCCCGUGAUUCCCAGUCAGGACAAUGGUUUACUGUGGCUCUUUGUGUCCAGGAAGAACCCUGCAUCGGAAAGAAGAUGGUGGAGGUACUGACUGUGGUACCUCUUGCUUCCGAGAGAACUUGGACAAGUCAUGUAAC